UACGUAGGGUGCGAGCGUUAAUCGGAAUUACUGGGCGUAAAGAGUGCGUAGGCGGUUGCUGAAGUCCGCUGCGAGAGCCCCGGGCUCAACCUGGGAAUGGCAGUGGAAACUAGGCGACUUGAAUCUGGCAGAGGGGGGUGGAAUUCCACGUGUAGCAGUGAAAUGCGUAGAGAUGUGGAGGAACACCGAUGG
This 192-nucleotide ribosomal RNA is filed under the name uncultured prokaryote. RNAcentral describes it as "partial 16S ribosomal RNA". It matches the Rfam family "Bacterial small subunit ribosomal RNA", at positions 524 to 715 of the family's 1533-position model. The record is from RNAcentral.